This is a long non-coding RNA of Gallus gallus (chicken), 3634 nucleotides long. The record is from Ensembl. Lineage: Eukaryota; Metazoa; Chordata; Aves; Galliformes; Phasianidae.
CAGUGGAGUUGAGGGUAUCUUGCUAAAGAUCCUUGCCUACCAGAGGCCUUCUAAGGUACUCCAGCACUUCCUUCUGCCGGCCAGGUUCCACCCCUGUGGCUUCCCUAUGACAUCUGCUUCCACCUGGCCCAAGCUGCCCAUGAGCAGGUGGCCAGAAGAAAAGGACAACAGCACGAGGUGGCUAUGGCACUGCUCACACACAUGCCUAGCCCGAGAGGGAAUGUUAUUGCUCUGGCUGAGGUACUCCUGGAUGGGAAGUGAGGAAUAGAAACAAUGAAGAAAUUUUGUUCCAAACACAAAAGGACAUGUGCCAUAGAAGAACUGAGACCUGAAAGUGUGAAGAGGGACCAAGACGUAGGAAGGAAGAGAUAAGGCUAAAGGUCUGGCACUGAUGUCUGAAAGACAGUAGUGGCUGAAUUACAAGUAUAUGAGCCCACCCAGGAGCAGGCACGCAGUAGAUCUACAGGAUUUGUGCUCUUUUGAAUUCUGGGCAAAAACUCUUAGGAACCAGAUCAGGCACAACUUAUGCCGAUGUUUGCAUAGGUUAUUCUCUCUACUCAGAGACAUCAAUACACAAAAGAUGUGUCUGGCUGCUAUGUAGCAGAGAAGAGGAAGCUUUGUGUGGCAACUGCAUCCCAAAACAAUCCCUUUUCAGGAGGCGUCUUCCUUUGAGCACGCUCAGCAGCAUCAGAGCUACCUUGUGCAAGCAGAAAGGUGUGAGGUACCAGCAAGUGCAUGGGACAAGGGGAUGAUGAGAGCUAGACUAUUGCGAUGUAAAACUGAUGAAGAGCUACCCCAGGAAACCAAACUGGACCAAAAUAUAAUGGGGGCAACUGCUCACAAGUGCAGACAACAAGAAAAAGGAGAAAUCUGUCAUUGUGAUGGAAUCCCUACAAACUUAGCAUGGAUGAGCAUCGUUUUGAUGAAACCAUAAGACUCCUUUAAUGGAAACUGGGGGCUGCAUGAGAGUCACCACUACAGAGAAUUCUGCAUUUCUAAUGGCCUGAGUUAUUUAAUGGCUUAUCUGAAAUGCUCUGAGAGCUGCCUGGCACUGCCAGAGCCAGCAUGAGAGCAGUCAUGGUCAGAUGAGGCUUUCCCACAGGUUUCCCUUGGAGGAUGAGAUCCUUUUCUGGCAAGCCAUAUGAGCUCAGUAAGAUUCUCGUUAUGGCCAAGCUCACAUGCCAUAUAUGUCCUCUAUUAGUUUUGCCUUGGGGUAAUUUUUCUGAUGGCCAAAGACAAGAUCCCUGGCAGUCAAGCUCAUGGACCCAGUGUUCACCUUUUGCCUUUGCUGGUUCUAAAGAACAAGGACAUGGCCAGCUAACCAAUAAAUAAUUUGGCAAAUAGCAACAGAAAGGAAGAAUCAGACUUUUCUUAAGAAAAGCUAUCAUUGCACUUUACUGAGGUAAUUGUUUCCUACUAGGUGGUACCUUGACAGCCGGAAGAACACAGGCUGUAAGUGUUCAGAGCUGCAUGCUUUCCAGGUAAUUUGAUUUCCCGUACAACAUACUCCUGGGGAAGGCAUUGACCAGCUGCUUCUUGAGGAACUCCACUUGCUCCUCCUGCUGAGGAGACCUCAGCUCUGCAUGGGUUGCAAAGGCUUUUCCCUGUGUGCCCUGUCUGGUUGCAGUUCCCCUGCUGGGUUGCCCAUCCCAAGGUGAAGCCAGCCCUGCAUGUGUUGCAAAACUUUCCUCUCCAAGUGACUUCAUCGUGCCAAGCAGUAAUGGCUCUGGUAUGAUGCUCAGAGCAUUUCCUGAGAAAAAAGGACAUUGUCAUAGCCGGGGUCUUAUACAAUGCGCUCCACAAAAGGAGGGAAGGAAGGUAAAUAUAGAAAAUUGAGGAGAUAUUCUGCAUUGAGAGACACAACAAAAGGAAAACUGCCAGGAAAUGACUCCACAAUGGGGCCAAAUUCAGACUCCUUGGUACUAAACACUCACAUAGACAACCCCCAUCCUCCAGCAGCUGAACAAGGAGCGCCCAGCACCCCUGGAAACUGGGAAAGCCCUAGAUAGAAAUCAGUGAGGCUCUUCCCACUGGGUUUGAGAGCUAAGCUCUUACUGAAUAUCUAAAACAAGCCUUUAGGUUGGUUGCUGUAAGCUUUCAGUUCUAGCAGUGUGAGCCUAGUUAGGUCUACAUAAAGCAUCUUUCUCUGCAGAUAUUAACAGACCUAUUCAUAUUCACUGCACUCAGAGCUAGAGAAGAUGUUGAUACAACCCAAGCCCAUUUAUUCCCUUGCUGUCUGGUCUAGGCCAGUCAUCCUUGCACUCUCCAAAGUCAAGGGAGAGAGAAAGAAGUAUUUCCAAAGGAUAAUUCAUCCCAUCCCAAGAUAAAUGGUGUUAGCAGGCGGAGGAGAGGUUAAACUGCUCUUUGAAGAUGCCUCCACGGGUUAGCAGGAAGCAUGACUUAGACUAAACACCUACCCACUAAAUAAGGAAGGGAUGAAUCCCACCAUUAUGGUCUAAAUUGAUAAUACAAUACAGAUGUGUAGAGCAGUAAGUGACCAGAUGGUGAAUUUAUCACACUACAGUGUAGUUUCUUGUAAUAUAAAUACAGGCUGAUUAAAUAGUUGAUUUGCUCAACAGAGCAUCUCAGCUUCAUUACGAGAGCUAGUCUGGAGUCAUUACAAGUCAACACAGGGCCCUGUGUAUGUUUUUAGAAAAUAUGAUGGUCUGGAAAUAAAAGAUGUGCAAGCAGCAAUUUUUGGUCAAUUAAUCUAAGGUUCUCUGUACUGAAAAAGAAUCCUGGCAUCCAUUUUUCCAUGCUAUGUGCAGAAAUGAUAUUUAAUGCCAAAUUACAUUUAAAUGAACAAAACCGCUGCAAGACUACAAUACAUUAGGACUACUAAACUUAGCCUCUCCAUGUAUUCCCUUGUGCCUCAGAAUCAAUGGUAUUAUUUUGAACAAGAAAAACAGAUUUUUCUUCAAGGCUCUCUGGUUUACUGAGCUACCCAAAUGCUUUGACAAAACUGUAUCUGAUACUGUGGGGUACUGAAAAUAAAGAAGAAAGUUAAAAUAAAAAAAAAUAGGGCUUUCAUAAAUCAUCCUGUCUGCUGGAAGCAGUUCCCUACAGUCUGAAUGUGAGCAGCCUACAUCCAGCAUCUCCCAGGGCAGGACAUGCAUGGGGAUCUGACAUGCAGCUGCAGUCAGAGCAGAUCCUGCCAUCUCCACUACAACAGCACACAACCAUCCUUCAGGCCAGGCUGCCUAUAGCUUGGAGGAGGCACAAUGACCACAAGACCUGCUAGCCUCUCUGUGAUGCAAGCAGCAAGCUCACAUCCAUGUUGCCACCUUCCCUACACAGCUAUGGGAUGGUGCAUGAAGCCAAAGUCCUGGUGUGGGUGAUUCCAGAAGACCUCAGCAUGGCCGCACAGAGCAGCAGGGAGAUCUUUUGGAUGGGGGGCAGGUUGCCUUCAAAGCACCAAAGAGAAUGUCCUUCAAAAGAAGGAACGUGCUCAGAUGUUCUGCCAGCACAGUGUCAAGCCACUUAUGGGAAUGUUUUCAGCAAAUAUCAGCCCAGUUCUUCCCCGGCCUUUGCUGAGGACCUCUUAGCAAGCACAAUUGGGUCCCCCACAAAGCACUUUCCCCAGGUAUAUUUUGGGUUUGGAAAAAUCCUCUAAGAGGUGUUAUGUUCAUAGAAC